RNAcentral lists this non-coding RNA (27 nucleotides) under Rattus norvegicus (Norway rat). Lineage: Eukaryota; Metazoa; Chordata; Mammalia; Rodentia; Muridae. The record is from RNAcentral.
UUGAGUCCAUAUUAGAGCCAGUGGUGA